RNAcentral lists this ribosomal RNA (465 nucleotides) under Vreelandella stevensii. RNAcentral describes it as "partial 16S ribosomal RNA". It matches the Rfam family "Bacterial small subunit ribosomal RNA", at positions 338 to 795 of the family's 1533-position model. The record is from RNAcentral. Lineage: Bacteria; Pseudomonadati; Pseudomonadota; Gammaproteobacteria; Oceanospirillales; Halomonadaceae.
CCUACGGGAGGCAGCAGUGGGGAAUAUUGGACAAUGGGCGAAAGCCUGAUCCAGCCAUGCCGCGUGUGUGAAGAAGGCCUUCGGGUUGUAAAGCACUUUCAGUGGGGAAGAAAGCCUUGGGGCUAAUACCCUCGAGGAAGGACAUCACCCACAGAAGAAGCACCGGCUAACUCCGUGCCAGCAGCCGCGGUAAUACGGAGGGUGCGAGCGUUAAUCGGAAUUACUGGGCGUAAAGCGCGCGUAGGCGGUCUGAUAAGCCGGUUGUGAAAGCCCCGGGCUCAACCUGGGAACGGCAUCCGGAACUGUCAGGCUAGAGUGCAGGAGAGGAAGGUAGAAUUCCCGGUGUAGCGGUGAAAUGCGUAGAGAUCGGGAGGAAUACCAGUGGCGAAGGCGGCCUUCUGGACUGACACUGACGCUGAGGUGCGAAAGCGUGGGUAGCAAACAGGAUUAGAUACACGAGUAGUC